CUGGCAGUCAGACGUGUGGAUCGCAAGUCCGGAAAACCAAGAGCCGUAGCCCCAGUGCAAAGUGGAGGAAAGGUCUCAAACAGAUUCGCUGUCCGUGAACGGUUUACUGUUGCGGUUUACGGGUCGCGUCUCAGAUUUUCAUCCGUUCGAUCUAAACCAAACUAAACUAAGCUCAACUAAUCCAAAACUAAACCAAGCCAGAGACCAAACAAAAUAGAGAAAAACUUGUUGAAGUACUUGAUUGAUGUGUGUGCCCAAUUGCCUGCCGAAUCGAGCGAGCUAAACCGAGAAGGAGUCUCCGCUGCCUGGAAAAAAGGCAUGCAUCGGGCUCUCCAGCGCGCCAGUUAUCCAGCCUCUCAGCUCAGCCGCUCAACUUGUCGACUUUCGGCCCAAACCGCUGACCAGGCCAGGACCUCACAGGAUCUCAGUUUCCAGGACGAAACAGAACAGAACGGGACCCGGCAGUCCUCAGCCAUGGCUGUUGAAUAAUUAAUGCAGUUUCGUCCGCAGGUUAGCUUAGCCCCUUAGCUUAGUUCGAGAAAGUCAGAAUGCAGGACGUCUCAUUUAAAUGCGCACUGCGAGUCUGAGGCUUCUCGAAACGCCUGUGAGACAAGUUUGAGCUAGCGAGGAAUAUAAUAGAUUUCAAACUCACGAUGAUGUAGAACUGAAGGUGCGUUUGAAAGCUUGCCCAAAUGCCAAUUCCUUUCAAGAGA
Molecule: long non-coding RNA, 713 nt
Organism: Drosophila sechellia
Lineage: Eukaryota; Metazoa; Arthropoda; Insecta; Diptera; Drosophilidae
Exons: 4
Source: RefSeq, a predicted model, not a curated record